GAAGCAUUGCUAAUGAAGGCCCUAACAAGUCGCGGGAGAGGCUACCAGCCCCAGCCUUUGGACAGCAUGACACGGAGGGCUGCAACAAGAUAUUUACCUGUACCCUCAAGGAUUAUUCUGGGCCUGGAAACAGAGACCCAGAUGGAAGAGACUCACCACCAAGACAGUGGGAUCUGGGCCUGGGGUGGGGAAAGCUCCAGGACAGUGGAGUCCUAGAGGCCCAACUCACAGCCGUGGA
RNAcentral lists this long non-coding RNA (238 nucleotides) under Felis catus (domestic cat). Its description in RNAcentral is "lncRNA (ENSFCAG00000051999.1)". Lineage: Eukaryota; Metazoa; Chordata; Mammalia; Carnivora; Felidae. The record is from RNAcentral.